This 204-nucleotide microRNA precursor is filed under the name Oryza nivara. RNAcentral describes it as "MIR812 microRNA precursor family". It matches the Rfam family "MIR812 microRNA precursor family". Lineage: Eukaryota; Viridiplantae; Streptophyta; Magnoliopsida; Poales; Poaceae. The record is from Rfam by way of RNAcentral.
AAUAGAUGACGCCGUUGACUUUUUCUCACAUGUUUGACCAUUCGUCUUAUUCAAAAAAUUUAUGUAAUUAUAAUUUAUUUUGUUAUGAGUUGUUUUAUCACACAUGAUAUUUUAAGUGUGAUUUAUAUCUUAUAUAUUUGUAUAAAUUUUUUGAAUAAGACGAAUGGUUAAACAUGUGAGAAAAAAUCAACGGCGUCAUUUAUU